UUUUUUUUGAGACAGGGUCUCACUCUGUCAUGCAGGCUGGAGUGCAGUGGUGCAAUCACAGCUCACUGCAGCCUCAACUUCCCAGGCUCAAUGGAUCCCCCCACCCCAACCUCCUGCCCCCACCCCAUCGAGUAGCUGGGACUAUAGGCACAUACCACCACAUCUGGCUAAUUUUUGUAUUUUUUGUAGAGACGGGGUUUUACCAUGCUGCUGCACACUGGUCUUGAACUCCUGGGCUCUAGUGAUCCACCUGCUCAGCUUCCCAAAGUAAUGGGAAUACAGGAAACAAAGACAAGUGAAGCAGCAAACUUGCCGAACAAUCUCUGCCACACCAUAUGCACUUCAAAAGACCAACCACAGUGAUUAAAGGGAUGAAAAAGAUGACCUGCUUGAAAACUCUAAAGAACCCAGUAUUAUUUGAAAGAAGAGGAAGCUGAAUGGUAACUUAAUAACUAUCUUCAGAUUUCAACAGGACUACUACUUCUGUUUUAUCCAUUUCUAUAGAGUUUGAAACUACUAAGGAAUUAUUCUGAAAUCUUUCUGUAACUAGCAUAUUUGAC
RNAcentral lists this long non-coding RNA (560 nucleotides) under Homo sapiens (human). The record is from RNAcentral. Lineage: Eukaryota; Metazoa; Chordata; Mammalia; Primates; Hominidae.